RNAcentral lists this transfer RNA (79 nucleotides) under Streptomyces sp. WM6378. RNAcentral describes it as "tRNA-Glu". It matches the Rfam family "tRNA". Rfam says of the family: Transfer RNA (tRNA) molecules are approximately 80 nucleotides in length. Lineage: Bacteria; Bacillati; Actinomycetota; Actinomycetes; Kitasatosporales; Streptomycetaceae. The record is from RNAcentral.
GCCCUCGUGGAGUAGUCCGGAUCAACUCACCCCACUCUCCAUGGGGAGACCGCGGGUUCAAAUCCCGCCGAGGGUACGA